RNAcentral lists this ribosomal RNA (527 nucleotides) under uncultured bacterium. RNAcentral's name for it is "bacterial SSU rRNA". It matches the Rfam family "Bacterial small subunit ribosomal RNA", at positions 355 to 897 of the family's 1533-position model. The record is from RNAcentral.
UUAGGAAUUUUGCGCAAUGGGGGAAACCCUGACGCAGCCACGCCGCGUGCGGGAUGAAGGCCUUCGGGUCGUAAACCGCCUUUCUCGAGGAAGACACCCGACGGUACUCGAGGCAUAAGCAACGGCUAACUACGUGCCAGCAGCCGCGGUAAUACGUAGGUUGCGAGCGUUGUCCGGAUUUACUGGGCGUAAAGCGCACGCAGGCGGUUCCGAAAGUCGAAUGUGAAAGCUCCUGGCCCAACUGGGAGAGGCCGUUCGAAACUUCGGGACUUGAAGGCGGGAGAGGCAGAUGGAAUUUCCGGUGUAGCGGUAAAAUGCGUAGAUACCGGAAGGAACACCAGUGGCGAAAGCGAUCUGCUGGCCCGCCCUUGACGCUCAGGUGCGAAAGCUAGGGGAGCGACCGGGAUUAGAUACCCCGUUAGUCCUAGCUGUAAACAAUGGGCACUAGGUGUUGUCGGUAUCGACCCCGGCAGUGCCGAAGCUAACGCAUUAAGUGCCCCGCCUGGGGAGUACGACCGCAAGGUUAA